GCUGUCUUAAAAAAUUCACCCAACAUCCAGCCAAGCCCAGGGCAAUGGGUGAACCCGCGGCCAAACUUUACUAAGCAACGACGUCUGCUCGAUUCCACGAACAGAGUCGUCUCUCGGCCAGGGAUAGGACGACAGGUGUGUUUAUUCCCAGGGACCCCCGGCGAAACGUGGAACAGAAAUCGUACAGCACCUAACCUAACCUUCUACCGGAGCAUCCUCCUACUACUCCUCCUACUGCUGCUAAAUGGCAGUGGCUAAAAUCAUCAAGUUGUCUACCACUAGGAAUCAUUUGUCUCCCUAUGGGCCAAACGCUUUCUUGCGCGUAUCUAGUUGGCUCAAUGGCAGUGCAAUGCAGUAUGGAACAAACAAAUAGAUGUCGCGUGGCCCGGAAUACCUACUGGAAAAAUAGAAGAAAACAAAAUCAACCCCUGACAACACACCGUAUAAUGAUACAUCUAAUAAGAUCUACCUACGCGGUGGUAUUUCUAUAAUGGAGAAGAAAAAAAAAACUCGACCACAGGUAUACCACGACGCCGAUACGAAAAAAAUGCACCCUUGUAUUUUGAUCUUGCGUUUUGGAACUGGCAGCAGUAUCUUCUUCACAGUAAAUUGGAAAUCAGCACGAAGUUGCGCAAGGACGAUAAAGAAUUGAACUUUUUGAAGAACAAAAAGAUGAACAAUCUCCAACAGAAAAAGGCUGAUGGAUUUCAUGGUAAAUCAAACCUCUUUGUACCGAGUAGGUAUACCUUACGCAGGACUAUUGUGUAUGGUUACCUCCUGUGGUGUCACGCCAGAAUACCGUAACUCGCUUUUUUCUAUAAGUCUCAAAAUGGUAUUACACAACAUAAUAGCUCAAUCGGGGCGGCGUUAACACGCUCCGCCCCAAUUCUUACAUGAGAAUCAAUGAAAAGACGCUUUUAUAAAUAGGUAGCCAAAUAAUUGUACGCAUCUCUGGAUACGUUGCAUCUUGGCCCAGUGAA
Cephus cinctus (wheat stem sawfly) is the source of this 980-nucleotide long non-coding RNA. RefSeq lists it as uncharacterized. NCBI's taxonomy places the organism in Eukaryota, Metazoa, Arthropoda, Insecta, Hymenoptera, Cephidae. The transcript is spliced from 3 exons. The record is from RefSeq and is a predicted model, not a curated record.